RNAcentral lists this non-coding RNA (45 nucleotides) under Schistosoma mattheei. The record is from RNAcentral. Lineage: Eukaryota; Metazoa; Platyhelminthes; Trematoda; Strigeidida; Schistosomatidae.
AUCCAGCUGAUGAGUCCCGAAUAGGACGAAACACGCGUCCUGAAU